GACCUAGUCGGCUAGAUAGAUAGAUAGAUAGAUAGAUAGAUAGAUAGAUAGAUAGAUAGAUAGAUAGAUAGAUAGAUGCUGUCAAAGUAGCAAAUGUUCGCCAAGAAAUGCUUCGCAUUUAAUAAACGUUCCUUGCCAUGGCCUUCGGUAGCUGGUAUUCACGUAAUAAAAACGAGCGUGACCACACCAAUUACCUAGUUUCGCUCGUCCUUUACUGAGAUAAAGGACAAGCGAGGCUAAUUGGGCAUGGUUACAGAUGUAAUCACAUGUCGCUGCUUGACGCAAGCCGCCUCUAGGUCUGAAGGACGUGCAUAAGCGGCAAGACAGAAAGCGCGAAAAUAAACGGCAACGCCGGUAACAACUUGGUUGCCUUGGCCGCGCCGGACGUUACGAAAGCGAAACCAACAGCGCGGAGUAGUUCUUCAGAGUGUCGUUAGGCGCGCCCGUGUGCUGCUUUCGCCGGUUGUUUGCUUUGACGUUCAACAGGUGGCGUGAGCAGCGCGCGAAGGCAGAGCGGGCCGCUUGAACAGCUUGAACGUCUGCGCUUUGGCGGCUUCGGCGAAGUCGCGCCGCCGCGCGCUCUGUACAACAUUCGAGCAGCGGGCUCGUCGCGGGCAGUCGUGUCGGCGUCUUUGGUCGCGGCGGCACAGCGUUCGAUCAGCUGGCCCGUCUGCGUACCGUGCCCGCCGUUUGUUUUGGUCGUGCGUUUACUUUUUUGCGCGAGACCACGUUAAAAACAAACCCCACGGCUGCGCCGGUUUCUGCGUCAUCGCCUCACCGAAAUUGUGGGAGUCAUCGUGGUUGUUGCCGUGUCGACGCGCACUCUCGCGCGACCACCGUGAGCAACAGCUGUCUCUCACGUGCGGACUGGAUUGUUGUCCGCUGCUUUCGAGCAGCGACUGCAAGGAGCAGCUGCCGCCGUCGUCUCAGCCUGCCUUGUGUUUCGAUCCCGUUAUGUCUGUGGAUCCCGGGGGCAAGCCGCACCUCGAUAUUGACGUAUGGCUCCAGAACCUGGACUUGCCGCAAUACUCGCUACUAUUCUGCAAGUACACCGGCGUUGAGG
This is a long non-coding RNA of Dermacentor silvarum, 1063 nucleotides long. RefSeq lists it as uncharacterized. The transcript is spliced from 2 exons. Lineage: Eukaryota; Metazoa; Arthropoda; Arachnida; Ixodida; Ixodidae. The record is from RefSeq and is a predicted model, not a curated record.